RNAcentral lists this ribosomal RNA (833 nucleotides) under Fusarium celtis-occidentalis. Its description in RNAcentral is "eukaryotic LSU rRNA". It matches the Rfam family "Eukaryotic large subunit ribosomal RNA", at positions 68 to 931 of the family's 3401-position model. Lineage: Eukaryota; Fungi; Ascomycota; Sordariomycetes; Hypocreales; Nectriaceae. The record is from RNAcentral.
ACAGGGAUUGCCCUAGUAACGGCGAGUGAAGCGGCAACAGCUCAAAUUUGAAAUCUGGCUCUCGGGCCCGAGUUGUAAUUUGUAGAGGAUGCUUUUGGUGAGGUGCCUUCCGAGUUCCCUGGAACGGGACGCCAUAGAGGGUGAGAGCCCCGUCUGGUUGGACACCGAGCCUCUGUAAAGCUCCUUCGACGAGUCGAGUAGUUUGGGAAUGCUGCUCUAAAUGGGAGGUAUAUGUCUUCUAAAGCUAAAUAUUGGCCAGAGACCGAUAGCGCACAAGUAGAGUGAUCGAAAGAUGAAAAGCACUUUGAAAAGAGAGUUAAAAAGUACGUGAAAUUGUUGAAAGGGAAGCGCUUGUGACCAGACUUGGGCUUGGUUGAUCAUCCAGGGUUCUCCCUGGUGCACUCCUCCAGCUCAGGCCAGCAUCAGUUUGCUUCGGGGGAUAAAGGCGUCGGGAAUGUGGCUCCCUCCGGGGAGUGUUAUAGCCCGUCGUGUAAUACCCUGGGGCGGACUGAGGUUCGCGCAUCUGCAAGGAUGCUGGCGUAAUGGUCAUCAGCGACCCGUCUUGAAACACGGACCAAGGAGUCGUCUUCGUAUGCGAGUGUUCGGGUGUCAAACCCCUACGCGUAAUGAAAGUGAACGCAGGUGAGAGCUUCGGCGCAUCAUCGACCGAUCCUGAUGUUCUCGGAUGGAUUUGAGUAAGAGCAUACGGGGCCGGACCCGAAAGAAGGUGAACUAUGCCUGUAUAGGGUGAAGCCAGAGGAAACUCUGGUGGAGGCUCGCAGCGGUUCUGACGUGCAAAUCGAUCGUCAAAUAUGGGCAUGGGGGCGAAAGAC